Astyanax mexicanus (Mexican tetra) is the source of this 622-nucleotide long non-coding RNA. RefSeq lists it as uncharacterized. The record is from RefSeq and is a predicted model, not a curated record. Lineage: Eukaryota; Metazoa; Chordata; Actinopteri; Characiformes; Acestrorhamphidae. The transcript has 4 exons.
UGCUAGGUUGUUGCUAAGGUGUUGCUAUGGUAUCUGGGGUGGUUGCUAAGAUGUUGCUACGUGGUUGCUAGGGUGUUGCUAUGGUAUCCGGGGUGGUUGCUAAGGUGUCGCUAGGUGGUUGCUAGGGUGUUGCUAGGUGGUUGCUAAGGUGUUGCUAUGGUAUCUGGGGUGGUUGCUAAGAUGUUGCUAGGUGGUUGCUAAGGUGUUGCUAUGGUAUCUGGGGUGGUUGCUAAGGUGUUUCUAGGUGGUUGCUAGGUGGUUGCUAAGGUGUUGCUAUGGUAUCUGGGGUGGUUGCUACGGUGUUGCUAGGUGGUUGCUAAGGUGUUGCUAUGGUAUCCGGGGUGGUUGCUAAGGUGUUGCUAGGUGGUUGCUAGGUGGUUGCUAAGGUGUUGCUAUGGUAUCUGGGGUGGUUGCUAAGGUGUUGCUAGGUGGUUGCUAGGUGGUUGCUAAGGUGUUGCUAUGGUAUCUGGGGUGGUUGCUAAGGUGUUGCUAGGUGGUUGUUAGGCAGUUGCUAUCAUUUCUAAAGUGGUUGCUAAGUGGUUGCUAGGCAGUUGCUAACGUUUUCCUAAUGGUUGCUAAGGUGUUGGUAAGUGGUUGCUAGGCUGUUGCUAUCAUUUCUAAA